AGAUUGAACGCUGGCGGCAGGCCUAACACAUGCAAGUCGAACGGUAACAGGAAGAAGCUUGCUUCUUUGCUGACGAGUGGCGGACGGGUGAGUAAUGUCUGGGAAACUGCCUGAUGGAGGGGGAUAACUACUGGAAACGGUAGCUAAUACCGCAUAAUGUCGCAAGACCAAAGAGGGGGACCUUCGGGCCUCUUGCCAUCGGAUGUGCCCAGAUGGGAUUAGCUAGUAGGUGGGGUAACGGCUCACCUAGGCGACGAUCCCUAGCUGGUCUGAGAGGAUGACCAGCCACACUGGAACUGAGACACGGUCCAGACUCCUACGGGAGGCAGCAGUGGGGAAUAUUGCACAAUGGGCGCAAGCCUGAUGCAGCCAUGCCGCGUGUAUGAAGAAGGCCUUCGGGUUGUAAAGUACUUUCAGCGGGGAGGAAGGGAGUAAAGUUAAUACCUUUGCUCAUUGACGUUACCCGCAGAAGAAGCGCCGGCUAACUCCGUGCCAGCAGCCGCGGUAAUACGGAGGGUGCAAGCGUUAAUCGGAAUUACUGGGCGUAAAGCGCACGCAGGCGGUUUGUUAAGUCAGAUGUGAAAUCCCCGGGCUCAACCUGGGAACUGCAUCUGAUACUGGCAAGCUUGAGUCUCGUAGAGGGGGGUAGAAUUCCAGGUGUAGCGGUGAAAUGCGUAGAGAUCUGGAGGAAUACCGGUGGCGAAGGCGGCCCCCUGGACGAAGACUGACGCUCAGGUGCGAAAGCGUGGGGAGCAAACAGGAUUAGAUACCCUGGUAGUCCACGCCGUAAACGAUGUCGACUUGGAGGUUGUGCCCUUGAGGCGUGGCUUCCGGAGCUAACGCGUUAAGUCGACCGCCUGGGGAGUACGGCCGCAAGGUUAAAACUCAAAUGAAUUGACGGGGGCCCGCACAAGCGGUGGAGCAUGUGGUUUAAUUCGAUGCAACGCGAAGAACCUUACCUGGUCUUGACAUCCACGGAAGUUUUCAGAGAUGAGAAUGUGCCUUCGGGAACCGUGAGACAGGUGCUGCAUGGCUGUCGUCAGCUCGUGUUGUGAAAUGUUGGGUUAAGUCCCGCAACGAGCGCAACCCUUAUCCUUUGUUGCCAGCGGUCCGGCCGGGAACUCAAAGGAGACUGCCAGUGAUAAACUGGAGGAAGGUGGGGAUGACGUCAAGUCAUCAUGGCCCUUACGACCAGGGCUACACACGUGCUACAAUGGCGCAUACAAAGAGAAGCGACCUCGCGAGAGCAAGCGGACCUCAUAAAGUGCGUCGUAGUCCGGAUUGGAGUCUGCAACUCGACUCCAUGAAGUCGGAAUCGCUAGUAAUCGUGGAUCAGAAUGCCACGGUGAAUACGUUCCCGGGCCUUGUACACACCGCCCGUCACACCAUGGGAGUGGGUUGCAAAAGAAGUAGGUAGCUUAACCUUCGGGAGGGCGCUUACCACUUUGUGAUUCAUGACUGGGGUGAAGUCGGAACAAGGUAACUGUAGGGGAACCUGCGGUUG
RNAcentral lists this ribosomal RNA (1504 nucleotides) under metagenome. RNAcentral describes it as "bacterial SSU rRNA". It matches the Rfam family "Bacterial small subunit ribosomal RNA". The record is from RNAcentral.